This 2574-nucleotide ribosomal RNA is filed under the name Triticum aestivum (bread wheat). RNAcentral's name for it is "partial small subunit ribosomal RNA". The record is from RNAcentral. Lineage: Eukaryota; Viridiplantae; Streptophyta; Magnoliopsida; Poales; Poaceae.
AUGUUGUCCCCCAACAUGGCAAACAAAAGUUACAAACAGCGGAAUGAGAAGGUUCAGGUUGGUUGUAUGUCGGGGCUGAUCCGCAUGUUCGACUUCCGUCGUGGUCAAAAAUAUCUUUCAGAUGGGAGCCGACGGAUGAAUACAUAUUCAGUUAAAAGGGGUCUAAAAGGCUCUGAGGAUUACAACAGAAUCACGGCUGCAGAUAAUGACAGAGACCAUGGAGCUGAAACAUUUUAUGCCGGUAGGCCAAGUAUUAGAGCACUGAUGGAAGAAGAGAUGGCCAGUGGCACACAGCCCUUGAAGCAAACAGAAAGAAACACGCUGGGGAUAUUCUCUAGUGAUGUUAAGUCUGUGAAUCUGCCUGAAGGAUCUGAGAUUGACCUAAACUUGGCUGCGAGUCUCAUGGAAAUUUACAGAAGUCACAAUGGAAGUCAAGACAGCAGCGAUUCUGUUAAAUCCGGUAACAUUUCUUAUUCAGUUGACCAAGAGAACAAUGCUGAUGCUGGUGCACAUCCCAGUCGGAUACCCUGUGUUAUUCAAAAAGCACUAGAAGAUGUGGCCGAAGCGGUAAUAAGCCAUCAAUCAGCGAAUGCAGAAUACAUAACCAGCAGCGGCGAAGCUAGGUCCAAAGAACUGGUUGACGCACUGCAGCUGCUGAGCUCAAACAAAGAGUUGUUUCUGAUGCUUCUGCGAGACCCGAGCUCUAGAUUGUUACAGUGCCUCCAAAACCUCUAUACAUCCCUAGGAGGUCCCAAGUUAGAACCCGCAGAUUCUGAUGAAGUAACUAAGUUGCAAGGUGCGACUAACGGCAUAGAGCAGUCGGAGGUGUCACCAAGUAAAGUGCAAAGAAAGUAUAAUUCUUUCUUGCAAGAGGAUAAGUUAGUCAUGAGGAAACCAUCACAGCUAAAUGAUACUUCCCGUGGCCUUAGCACAAUAGUAAUCUUGAAGCCAAGUCCUGCAAGAAGUCAGGGUAGCCUUCUCUCAAGUAGUGUAACUUCUUCACCACUAUCAAAUCAUAAUAAUACGCCAGGUCAGGUUGAAAGUGGCAAAGCUCCUCACCAUUUCUCUCUUAGAGAGCUUAGAAGGAGGCUAAAGCUUGCCACCAUGAGUAGUAGCACUUUCCAGACUGCUGAUCCACCCAAGCAGUUUGCUGUGGAAAGUAUGUCGAUAAGUUCAGAAAGUACAGAUUCUUCUGACUGUGAGAUAGCUAAGGAACCAUCCAGUGUUGACAAGAAAACAAACUUUAGAGAUAGUGGAAUUGGCAUGGGGAAUGAUGCCACUCAUGGUGUCGGCUCUUUUUCCUAUGAAAAGGCUAGGAAGCAUCUCAUUGAGAAGCUAGACAAUCAAGAUGAAGACAUUUCUCAGACUGUACAAAAAUCAGAAUCCAUUGGGAGAUUAAUUUCACAUCCGGAAGAUGGGGCAUUUUCUCCCAGUCAUUCCCCUCCAAAGGAGGGCAUUAGUAUAUCUCAGGAAGCUACAGACUCAAGUUCACAGAUAAUUGAGCAAGAUGAUAGUUCAGCAAAUUUUAGCCCACCAAGCGAAGACGAAGAGACAGAACCGACCAGUGCAAGCUCUUCAGGUAGUAAAGAGUUGGAUGAACUCAGGACAGAUCAUGGCAACCAUCUAUCGGAGGAGAACACUAUUUCUCAGGAGCUAAUCGAUGAAGAUGUUAAGAACAUGCAAGAUGCAGUGGAAAACCUACAGCUCUCUACCGAGGUUGAAACUACAAGUGAAAGCUUUGAACAAAUAAAUUCAGACCAAUUAUCUUCCGAAGAACCACAGCCCACGAAUGCGUUACCAGAAGUGACCAUGCAUUCUCCUGAGCACCCCGUUGAGGAACAAGACGAUCACAGUCCAUCAGCAGUCGUUGGAUUAGCCAAGCCAUCCAUGUUGACAUUUGCUUGCUUGCCAGAGAAUGCUGAUGAAAAAGAGGAGAAACUGAGCCCACACUCGGUUCUGGAUCCUUCCUUGGCAAAUAGUACCAGUCCCAACCAUAAAACUCGAAAGCAAGAUGAGUUGUCCAUGCCUAGCUCAAGAGUUCUUUUCGAAGAACUUGACACUCCAUCUGAGACGUUGCAGACUCCUGUUCUUUAUGAUAAAAAUGAAAGGGUUUCCUUCAUUAAGUCUGUGCUAGAAGCGUCAGAAUCGCUGGCCGGGGGCUGUUCGGAGAGGUGGUAUAUGGAUGUGUCUGUGCUUGAGACAUCUGUAUUGGCUGAAAUAGGAAUGUCAUACUGCCUGACGGACGAUGUGGUUCUUCUUUUUGAUUGUGUUGAGGAAGUUCUUCUCAAGAUAAGCGAUGAUUUCUUCGGUGCUGACCCAUGGGUAGCUUUUCUGAAGAACAACGUGAGACCAGCACCACUGGGGAUGGAACUCGUUAGAGAGGUGGCCAAGUGCAUCGAUUGUCUUGUCGAUGAUACUGGAACUCCAAAAGCAUUAGAUGAGGUGGUGCUGAAAGACCUGGAAAGUGGACCGUGGAUGGACCUUCGAUGCGAUGCUGAAGAUGCUGUCAUUGAUGUGUGGGAUGGCAUGCUUGACGACUUACUGGAGGAGAUGGUAUUUGACCUGUGGUUUUAA